CGGGGUUAAGCGAGAUGGGGGAGGGCCAGACCAAUGGGCAGCCACUGCCUCCUCCCCAGCAUGAUCAAGGAGCACAACUCAAUUACCCCAGAAACGUGAAGCUUCAGAGAUCCAUCUCAGCAGUUCCAGGAGGGGCUUGUAACCUGUCCCCUCCUGGACUGUGAAAAGAACAUAUAGCCCGACCUCCCUGCCAACAAGCUGUACCAUCGGGAAGAGGAGAGCCCAACGGUAGAAGCUCAUCAAUGAUUCCCAGCCUCUGUUUCCAUCAGAAUUGCUUGAUGAAGCUCCUUUAACACAAAUAGAUUUACUCACAUUCCUUAACUGUAAAAGGUGUGCAUGUGCCAGCAGGGGUUCUGGAAUCAUGUACCUUUGUCAGAGCUCCCCCAUUUAAUUCUGAUACAAUUCCACGUGGGUAUUA
Molecule: long non-coding RNA, 418 nt
Filed under: Mus spicilegus (steppe mouse)
Lineage: Eukaryota; Metazoa; Chordata; Mammalia; Rodentia; Muridae
Description: lncRNA (ENSMSIG00000012766.1)
Source: RNAcentral